Molecule: ribosomal RNA, 265 nt
Filed under: uncultured archaeon
Lineage: Archaea
Description: partial 16S ribosomal RNA
Rfam family: Archaeal small subunit ribosomal RNA
Source: RNAcentral
AGUCACUGACAUUAGAUACCCGGGUAGUCCAGGGUGUAAACGCUGCAGACUUGGUGUUGGAGGCCCUUUGGGGGCAUUCAGUGCCGGAGAGAAGUUGUUAAGUCUGCUACUUGGGAGUACGUCCGCAAGGAUGAAACUUAAAGGAAUUGGCGGGGGGAGGCACCGCAACGGGAGGAGCGUGCGGUUUAAUUGGAUUCAACACCGUAAACUCACCAGGGAAGACUGUUACAUGAAGGCCGAGAUGAAGACUCUGCUAGAUUUUCAG